AUGCCAGAGUAGUGCGCAUGUGCCAUCAGCGGCAGGCGCAGGCGUGAAGCCGCCAUUUUGGACACGCCCCUUGCGCGCAAGCGCAUUCCGAAACAACGGUGGCCGAGCAGGUUCGUUCCAAGCCGGCGCCUAGAUGCUGUGUUCGCGCCGCCGGCCUUCCCCCGCAGUCUGUCCCGGCCGCUGCACGGUACCUCAGCCCCAGUGAGCCGCCCGGUAUCCCUCCGCCGUUACCGGGGCGACAGCUCCGGCUUCUGCUCUCAGCAGCAGCGCUCAGGUGGUGGCCAUGUCGGACUCCGGGCACAGCCAGCCCGGCCUGUACGGCCCCGACCGCCGGCGCCGCUGGAACCGUGACAAGGAGCUGGGCCCCCCGGGCGGCCCCCAGAGCCUGUCGGGGCCGGGCCGGGAGCGUGACUAUGGCCCCUGGGACCGCGAGCGCCGGGAGCCCACGGAGGAGCCGGUCGGGUCCAUGAUGCAGAAGACACCCAUCAUCCUGGCCAAGCCGCCCGCUGAGAGGUCCAAGCUGGCCCCUGCCCCAGCUCCAGCCCCACCUGCCACUGCCCCACCUCCCAUGGAGAAGCCCAUCGUGCUGAUGAAGUCACGGGAGGAAGGCAAAGGCCCAGUGGGGGUGUCGGAGGGGGCUGCCCAGCUCCCCACAGCUGCUGCCAAGGGGGAGAAGGAGGGACAGCGCCCCACGCAACCCGUCUACCAGAUCCAGAACCGGGGCAUGGGAUCCGCUGCAUCCAGCAGCACCAUGGACCCCGUGGUGGGCCAGGCAAAGCUGCUGGCCCCGGAGAAGAUGAAGCACAGCAUCAAGCUGGUGGACGAUCAGAUGAACUGGUGUGACAGCGCCAUCGAGUACCUGCUGGACCAGACCGACGUGCUGGUGGUCGGGGUGCUGGGAUUACAGGGCACCGGCAAAUCCAUGCUGAUGUCUCUGCUGUCGGCUAACCAGCCUGAAGAAGAUCAAAGGGCCUACGUGUUCCGCACCCAGAGCCAGGAGAUCAAGGAGCGCGGGGGGAACCAGACCAGCGGCAUCGACUUCUUCAUCACCCAGGAGCGCAUCAUCUUCCUCGACACCCAGCCGAUUCUCAGCCCUUCCAUCCUGGACCAUCUCAUCAACAACGACCGCAAGCUGCCCCCCGAGUACAACCUGCCCCACACCUACGUGGAGAUGCAGUCCCUGCAGAUCGCAGCCUUCCUCUUCACCGUCUGCCACGUGGUCAUCGUGGUGCAGGACUGGUUCACCGACCUCAGUCUGUACAGGUUCCUGCAGACGGCCGAGAUGGUGAAACCCUCCACGCCCUCCCCCAGCCACGAAUCCACCGGCUCCUCGGGUGCCGACGAGGGCACGGAGUAUUAUCCCCACGUCGUUUUCCUGCAGAACAAGGCCAAGCGGGAGAAUUUCUGUCCCCGGAACCUGAAGCAGAUGCACGUGGUUAUCGAUAAAAUCAUGAUGCACUCGCACCUGAAAUACAAGGGCACUCUCUCCAUGCUGGAAUGUAACAUCUUCCCUGGCCUCCCCUACGACUACCUGGACAUGGAGGUGAAUCUCUUCCUCCUGCCGUUCGCGGACAGUGACGCCGACGACACUUUCCCCAGAGCAGCUCCUGGGGGCGGCCCCCUCUUCUCCCUGCUGCCCGGGUACAAGGGGCACCCCAGCUUCCAGACGCUCAUGGCCAAGCUGCGCAGCCAGAUCAUGUCUAUGGCGCGGCCCCAGCUCUCCCACACCAUCCUGACCGAGAAGAACUGGUGAGGGGCCGGAUACAGCCCAGGGAGCAGGGGACUAUGGGUAGGCAAGUUGGGUAGGAGAUUGUGGAGCAAAGGAUUAUGGGUUCCACUACGCGGCCCGGAUCUGGGACGGGGUGAAGAAAUCCUCGGCGCUCUCGGAGUACAGCCGCCUGCUGGCCUGAGCGACUGCUGCCCAAGAAGCUGCCGUGCUGGGGGGCCACACCAGGACCCCCGCCCUCUGCCUCCUGGGGCAGAAGGGGCCUGCUGGGCAGCCUGGAGGUGCUGUUUGGUUGCUGACUCCAGGCGCGGUGCGUGAGAGUCCGGGCGGGAUGCCCCUCCUGGGCCACCAUCCCACUCCCAGAGGCACUUGGGGCAGAGCUGUCCUGACCCCCCCAAGUCAUGAGAGCUCCCCCAGCCAGACAGGGGUACUAGAGAGGAGGGAGUCCUUGACUCUCCCAGCCUGCCCAGGGCUGAGAAUGCACCCCCCAUGAUGCCAUGGGGCAGGAUCGGGGCGGGGUGAACCAUAGGGCAGGGCCAUAGUCCUGAACCAGUGCCCCAUGGAGCUGAGCCCUUCAUCUCCUCCUCGCCCCCUUCCCUUCCUCCUUCCUUCCCCCCUUCAUCUCUCCUUUUCCUCCAUCCCUCCUUCCUUCUGUCCUUCCCCCCUUCAUCUCUCCUCCUCUCCCCCUUCCACCCUUCCCUCCAUCCCUCCUUCCUUCUCUCCAUACCCCCCUCCAUCUUCAUCUCUCCCCCCUCCUUCUGUCCUAUCCCCCCUCCUUCAUCUCUCCUUCCCUCCCCCAUAUCUCAUCCACACAGCCUUAGGGAAGAAUCUUUCCUCUCCCCCAUUCACACCCCCUUUGCCCUUCCCACUGUCCCUGCCGCCUGUGAUGCUCUGACCCCAUACUGGGGUCCCCCACAAUCGCCAUAGGGUCUCCCCUCUGUCUGUGAGGACCCUCCAUGCUGUGCCUGCCCCCACCCCGACCCCCCACACCACCCCUGCUAAUAAAGAGAGCUUCAAGCUGG
Gopherus flavomarginatus (Mexican gopher tortoise) is the source of this 2748-nucleotide RNA transcript. It is a transcript of the gene named SMG9 nonsense mediated mRNA decay factor, with no coding region annotated. The transcript has 14 exons. The record is from RefSeq and is a predicted model, not a curated record. Lineage: Eukaryota; Metazoa; Chordata; Testudines; Testudinidae.